Molecule: ribosomal RNA, 253 nt
Filed under: uncultured bacterium
Lineage: Bacteria
Description: partial 16S ribosomal RNA
Rfam family: Bacterial small subunit ribosomal RNA
Source: RNAcentral
GACGUAGGGCGCGAGCGUUGUCCGGAUUUAUUGGGCGUAAAGCGCACGUAGGCGGCUUUCUAAGUCAGGGGUGAAAUCCUGGAGCUCAACUCCAGAACUGCCUUUGAUACUGGAAAGCUUGAGUUCGGGAGAGGUGAGUGGAACUGCGAGUGUAGAGGUGAAAUUCGUAGAUAUUCGCAAGAACACCAGUGGCGAAGGCGGCUCACUGGCCCGUAACUGACGCUGAGGUGCGAAAGCGUGGGGAGCAAACAGG